Molecule: non-coding RNA, 274 nt
Organism: Sus scrofa (pig)
Lineage: Eukaryota; Metazoa; Chordata; Mammalia; Artiodactyla; Suidae
Source: RefSeq, a predicted model, not a curated record
UGUCUUAAAGGGCAUUUUCCCCUAUAAAUCGGAAAGUCAGAAUUCUGGUCUGAAGCCUGUACCUGACCUGUGGUUAUUGAAAAGCCAGUGUCCCCCCUUUAGGCUCUUGGAGCCAGCACCCACUAAACAGAGAGACAGCGAGCCUGAGGAAUGGCUGCUUCCUUCGAACAAAGCAUCAAAUACAUGAUCGCCACAACUGACUGAAAUUCUGCUACUGACAGUUCAUCUCUGAAGUAACCUUGAAUCCUAAACCCUCCUACCACUAACUUGUUAG